RNAcentral lists this ribosomal RNA (468 nucleotides) under uncultured bacterium. Its description in RNAcentral is "partial 16S ribosomal RNA". It matches the Rfam family "Bacterial small subunit ribosomal RNA", at positions 28 to 507 of the family's 1533-position model. The record is from RNAcentral.
GACGAACGCUGGCGGCGUGCUUAACACAUGCAAGUCGAACGGAAAGGCCCUGCUUUUGUGGGGUGCUCGAGUGGCGAACGGGUGAGUAACACGUGAGUAACCUGCCCUUGACUUUGGGAUAACUUCAGGAAACUGGGGCUAAUACCGGAUAGGAGCUCCUGCUGCAUGGUGGGGGUUGGAAAGUUUCGGCGGUUGGGGAUGGACUCGCGGCUUAUCAGCUUGUUGGUGGGGUAGUGGCUUACCAAGGCUUUGACGGGUAGCCGGCCUGAGAGGGUGACCGGCCACAUUGGGACUGAGGUACGGCCCAGACUCCUACGGGAGGCAGCAGUGGGGAGUAUUGCACAGUGGGCGGAAGCGUGAUGCAGCAACGCCGCGUGCGGGAUGACGGCCUUCGGGUUGUAAACCGCUUUCGCCUGUGACGAAGCGUGAGUGACGGUAAUGGGUAAAGAAGCACCGGCUAACUACGUG